AAAUGUGUAAAGAUCUGCUUUUGUUUCCUACACUCACCCACUCCAAACAUUAACCUCAUACCAACCUCCCACUGUACACAAGGGCCACAGGAAGCCUGGACAAUGCAGAAGAGCUAAAGGAAGUGGAUAGGCUCUAGCUUGGGCCACAGGGUGGCCCCACAGCCUAUCCAGUGUACCCUGAGCAGCCAAUCACCAAGAAAAUGAAGGCACUGUUCCACGCAGUACGGACACAACAGUGAACAAAAUAGACAAACGCUCUGCUCUGGUAAAGCUUCAUUCAGUGAAGGAGAACAACGGUCAACAGAAGGUGGAAUCUCUGCUGUGCCGUGCGGUACAGAGACAGAAUUGCAGCUGGUAAGCUUGUACAGCAUUCUAACGGUGGGCCUAAACUGAACACGUUCUUUCCUCUGGCUACUGCUCAGAAGUUCUGACAUCUGAGACCACCGUGGGGAGCUUGGUGAGAAGUCUACCUGCCCGUUUGCUUGGCCCUUUGCCAUUAUCGAGUUAGGGGCAUGGCAGGCCCUUCUCUCAUCCCAGUAGCACUCUGUGUUCCAGAAAUGUCAAGCACCUCCUCUGCAUCUGGCACUGUCCCCAUUUUCUCUGGUAGUGAAUCCUUUCCCUGGUUUUAUAGCCUUAGGUCAUUUCAGUGGGAGUUUAUGAGGCAGAAGAAUUCAACAAAUUCAUCUUGCCAUCUCUAACCUGAGUUCAAACAAACAUGGUAACUGGUGGUCAAGAGAGGUAGCUCCUAAACCCUUGUGUUACUUCCCAUGAUUCCAGUUACCUGAAAAGAUAAAGGAGAACGUUCCAGAAAUAACUAACUAAUGCUUUUCUCAUAUCCUACUAUAUUAUUAGUUACUACUAUUGCUAAUCUCAGCAAGCUUAACUUUAAAUCAAACCUCAUCAUGGAUACUCAUACAUAGGGGAAAACAUAGGAGAUAGAAAGUUUAGUGCUAGCCACUGUUUCAGGCCUUCAUGGGUGUCUUGGGAAAAGUCCUCUAGGGAAUAGGAACUAUUGUAGACAGCUGUGCUGCCUUGGGGACAUUGAGAAGCUGGAGUUUGUCUGGGGUCAGAUCUGUCAAUAAAGAAUGUGCUGAAGAAGGGUUCCAAACCCCUGC
RNAcentral lists this long non-coding RNA (1115 nucleotides) under Mus musculus (house mouse). RNAcentral's name for it is "CMT1A duplicated region transcript 4, opposite strand 1 (Cdrt4os1)". Lineage: Eukaryota; Metazoa; Chordata; Mammalia; Rodentia; Muridae. The record is from RNAcentral.